This 21-nucleotide non-coding RNA is filed under the name Caenorhabditis elegans. Lineage: Eukaryota; Metazoa; Nematoda; Chromadorea; Rhabditida; Rhabditidae. The record is from RNAcentral.
UAACUAGUAAAUUAAAAAAUA